CCUACGGGGGGCAGCAGUGAGGAAUAUUGGUCAAUGGACGAGAGUCUGAACCAGCCAAGUAGCGUGAAGGAUGACUGCCCUAUGGGUUGUAAACUUCUUUUAUAUGGGAAUAAAACGUUCCACGUGUGGGAUUUUGUAUGUACCAUAUGAAUAAGGAUCGGCUAACUCCGCGCCAGCAGCCGCGGUAAUACGGAGGAUCCGAGCGUUAUCCGGAUUUAUUGGGUUUAAAGGGAGCGUAGGUGGAUUGUUAAGUCAGUUGUGAAAGUUUGCGGCUCAACCGUAAAAUUGCAGUUGAAACUGGCAGUCUUGAGUACAGUAGAGGUGGGCGGAAUUCGUGGUGUAGCGGUGAAAUGCUUAGAUAUCACGAAGAACUCCGAUUGCGAAGGCAGUUCACUGGACUGCAACUGACACUGAGGCUCGAAAGUGUGGGUAUCAAACAGGAUUAGAUACCCUAGUAGUC
This 460-nucleotide ribosomal RNA is filed under the name uncultured bacterium. RNAcentral describes it as "partial 16S ribosomal RNA". It matches the Rfam family "Bacterial small subunit ribosomal RNA", at positions 338 to 795 of the family's 1533-position model. The record is from RNAcentral.